UACAGAGGUCUCAAGCGUUGUCCGGAAUCACUGGGCGUAAAGGGCGCGUAGGCGGCUUGAUAAGCGUGCGGUGAAAGCCCGGGGCUCAACCCCGGGUCGGCCGUGCGAACUGUCGAGCUGGAGCACUGUAGAGGCAGGUGGAAUUCCGGGUGUAGCGGUGGAAUGCGUAGAGAUCCGGAAGAACACCGGUGGCGAAGGCGGCCUGCUGGGCAGUGGCUGACGCUGAGGCGCGACAGCGUGGGGAGCAACAGGAUUAGAACC
Molecule: ribosomal RNA, 261 nt
Filed under: uncultured bacterium
Lineage: Bacteria
Description: partial 16S ribosomal RNA
Rfam family: Bacterial small subunit ribosomal RNA
Source: RNAcentral